AUUGAACGCUGGCGGCAUGCCUUACACAUGCAAGUCGAACGGCAGCACGGGGCAACCUGGUGGCGAGUGGCGAACGGGUGAGUAAUGCAUCGGAACGUGCCAUUGAGUGGGGGAUAACGUAGCGAAAGUUGCGCUAAUACCGCAUAUUCUGUGAGCAGGAAAGCAGGGGACCGCAAGGCCUUGCGCUCUUUGAGCGGCCGAUGUCAGAUUAGCUAGUUGGUGAGGUAACGGCUUACCAAGGCGACGAUCUGUAGCGGGUCUGAGAGGAUGAUCCGCCACACUGGAACUGAGACACGGUCCAGACUCCUACGGGAGGCAGCAGUGGGGAAUUUUGGACAAUGGGCGCAAGCCUGAUCCAGCCAUGCCGCGUGAGUGAAGAAGGCCUUCGGGUUGUUAAAGGACGUCUUUCGGUCCGGGAACGGAAAGUACGG
This 431-nucleotide ribosomal RNA is filed under the name uncultured bacterium. RNAcentral's name for it is "bacterial SSU rRNA". It matches the Rfam family "Bacterial small subunit ribosomal RNA", at positions 30 to 458 of the family's 1533-position model. The record is from RNAcentral.